Molecule: ribosomal RNA, 253 nt
Filed under: uncultured bacterium
Lineage: Bacteria
Description: partial 16S ribosomal RNA
Rfam family: Bacterial small subunit ribosomal RNA
Source: RNAcentral
UACAGAGGCCCCGAGCGUUGUUCGGAAUUACUGGGCGUAAAGGGAAUGUAGGUGGUGAUGUAAGUCAGAUGUGAAAUCCCCGGGCUUAACCCGGGAACUGCAUUUGAUACUGCUUCACUCGAGUGCGGAAGAGGAGAGCGGAAUUCCCAGUGUAGGAGUGAAAUCCGUAGAUAUUGGGAGGAAUACCGAUGGCGAAGGCAGCUCUCUGGUCCGUAACUGACACUGAGAUUCGAAAGCGUGGGUAGCAAACAGG